Molecule: ribosomal RNA, 481 nt
Filed under: Agaricus bisporus (cultivated mushroom)
Lineage: Eukaryota; Fungi; Basidiomycota; Agaricomycetes; Agaricales; Agaricaceae
Description: eukaryotic LSU rRNA
Rfam family: Eukaryotic large subunit ribosomal RNA
Source: RNAcentral
GAAUUCGGUAAGCGUUGGAUUGUUCACCCACUAAUAGGGAACGAGAGCUGGGUUUAGACCGUCGUGAGACAGGUUAGUUUUACCCUACUGAUGGAGUGUUAUCGUAAUAGUAAUUGAACUUAGUACGAGAGGAACUGUUCAUUCAGAUAUUUGGUAUUUGCGCCUGUCCGAUCGGCAAUGGCGCGAAGCUAUCAUCUGCUGGAUUAUGGCUGAACGCCUCUAAGUCAGAAUCCGUGCUAGAGACGAUGAUGUUGGUCCCGCACAUGUGACUUGAGUUGAGAUAGAGCUCUGCUCGUGUACCUUUUCAGGUGGGCUGGGCUGCUGCAGCGGAAAUGCUGUGGUGGCUUGUCCACGAAUUGCAAUCAUAAUAUGGGCGGGGGUGAAUCCUUUGCAGACGACUUGAAUGGGGAACCGGGGUACCUGUAAGCGGUAGAGUAGCCUUGUUGCUACGAUGCGCUGAGGUUAAGCCCUUGUUCUAUAG